Molecule: ribosomal RNA, 406 nt
Filed under: uncultured bacterium
Lineage: Bacteria
Description: partial 16S ribosomal RNA
Rfam family: Bacterial small subunit ribosomal RNA
Source: RNAcentral
AUUGAACGCUGGCGGCAGGCCUAACACAUGCAAGUCGAACGAGUGGCGGACGGGUGAGUAAUGUCUGGGAAACUGCCCGAUGGAGGGGGAUAACUACUGGAAACGGUAGCUAAUACCGCAUACCAUCGGAUGUGCCCAGAUGGGAUUAGCUAGUAGGUGGGGUAACGGCUCACCUAGGCGACGAUCCCUAGCUGGUCUGAGAGGAUGACCAGCCACACGGGAACGGAGACACGGCCAAUACUCUGACGGGGGGCAGAAGGGGGUAAUAUUGCAAAAUGGGGGCAAGCCUGAUGUAGCCAUGCCGCGUGAAUGAAGAAGUCCUUCGGGUUGUAAAGUAUUUUCAGCGAGGAGGCGUUACUCGCAGAAGAAGCACCGGCUAACUCCGUGCCAGCAGCCGCGGUAAUAC